AAUCUUUCAAUUGGAUUAAACUGAAAACUAGUCCUUUAACACAAUGGGUGAUAGUCAGUACUCUUUUUCGCUUACCACUUUCAGCCCAUCUGGAAAGCUGGUUCAGAUUGAGCAUGCUUUGACUGCUGUUGGAUCUGGUCAAACGUCGUUGGGAAUUAAAAGGUAACGCAAGGUCUAAUUUAAGUGCAAAUUUGUUGAUAUAGCAAUAGCUUUAACAU
Molecule: long non-coding RNA, 218 nt
Organism: Lycium ferocissimum
Lineage: Eukaryota; Viridiplantae; Streptophyta; Magnoliopsida; Solanales; Solanaceae
Exons: 3
Source: RefSeq, a predicted model, not a curated record